UACGUAGGGUGCAAGCGUUGUCCGGAAUUAUUGGGCGUAAAGAGCUCGUAGGCGGUCUGUCGCGUCGGCUGUGAAAACUCGGGGCUCAACUCCGAGCUUGCAGUCGAUACGGGCAGGCUAGAGUUCGGCAGGGGAGACUGGAAUUCCUGGUGUAGCGGUGAAAUGCGCAGAUAUCAGGAGGAACACCGGUGGUGUAGACGGCUUUCUGGACCGUAACUGACGCUGAGACACGAAAGCGUGGGUAGCAAACAGG
Molecule: ribosomal RNA, 253 nt
Filed under: uncultured bacterium
Lineage: Bacteria
Description: partial 16S ribosomal RNA
Rfam family: Bacterial small subunit ribosomal RNA
Source: RNAcentral